RNAcentral lists this ribosomal RNA (461 nucleotides) under Candidatus Rhizobium massiliense. RNAcentral's name for it is "bacterial SSU rRNA". It matches the Rfam family "Bacterial small subunit ribosomal RNA", at positions 355 to 837 of the family's 1533-position model. The record is from RNAcentral. Lineage: Bacteria; Pseudomonadati; Pseudomonadota; Alphaproteobacteria; Hyphomicrobiales; Rhizobiaceae.
CNUGGGGANUUGGACAUGGGCGCAAGCNNGAUCCAGCCAUGCCGCGUGAGUGAUGAAGGCCUUAGGGUUGUAAAGCUCUUUCACCGAUGAAGAUAAUGACGGUAGUCGGAGAAGAAGCCCCGGCUAACUUCGUGCCAGCAGCCGCGGUAAUACGAAGGGGGCUAGCGUUGUUCGGAAUUACUGGGCGUAAAGCGCACGUAGGCGGAUAUUUAAGUCAGGGGUGAAAUCCCGCAGCUCAACUGCGGAACUGCCUUUGAUACUGGGUAUCUUGAGUAUGGAAGAGGUAAGUGGAAUUCCGAGUGUAGAGGUGAAAUUCGUAGAUAUUCGGAGGAACACCAGUGGCGAAGGCGGCUUACUGGUCCAUUACUGACGCUGANGUGCGAAAGCGUGGGGAGCAACAGGAUUAGAUACCCUGGUAGUCCNCGCCGUAACGAUGAUGUUAGCCGUCGGGCAUUUACUGU